CUUGAGAAUGCUUCAGGCACCUAGCUAUGGAAGAUAGAAUGGAAAUUGUAAUAACAAAAUUCUAACUCUAAUAGAAUAUUAACUAAACUCUAAUUAGACCAUAACAAUGUUAAGCAAGCUUUAAUCAAAUUCAAAGAAACUUCAAAGGAAUUACAAAGAAAUAAUAAGAAAUCUUAAAGAAAUAUUAGAAUGAUUACAAAUAUAUCUCAAAUACAUCUCAAUUCAAUCUUAAUUUAAUUCUAGUUAAAAUUCUAUUGGACUUCAUUCAAACUUUAGGCCAAAAUCUAACUAAAUCUUAAAUCCUAAAAAAAUCCUAAUUAAAUUAUAAAUCCUAUACCAAAUCCUAAUCAAAUCCUAAAUCAAAUCGUAAUCAAAUCUUAAACCCUAAAUAAAAUUCUAACCAAACCUUAAAGCCUAAACCAAAUUCUAAACCAAAUUUUAACCAAAUCUUAAAUCCUAAAUGAAACCUUAAACAGUAAACCAAAUCCUAACCAAAUCCUAACUCUAUAUCAAAUCCUAACCAAACCCUAGUAAUUUCUAUAAUAGAUUUAAAUCUCAAUAACUAAUGAAUGAACUAUUGAUCUUAACUCAAAUUUUGUAUACAUCUUAAAAACUUAAUUGAAAACAAGGACAAUUUUUUUGAAAAGGAUCGGAAUUACUAAAUAGAUGAUAACCUCAAAAACGUACUCAGGUAUUGACUGGCCUCCUUCUCUGAUCUUAAUACCAAUCUCCUAGAGCCAAUAUCUCUCCUUUUCAUUGUUCGAUUGAUUUCAAAAUUUUCAUACACAUAAGAAAACAAAUCUUAUAUUCUCUCACAUAAAUUUCACUCCAA
Molecule: long non-coding RNA, 832 nt
Filed under: Physcomitrium patens
Lineage: Eukaryota; Viridiplantae; Streptophyta; Bryopsida; Funariales; Funariaceae
Description: long non-coding RNA (PPAT_LNC003810)
Source: RNAcentral